CAUAGCCUUUAGCCAAACCAAUAUCAAAGGUAACGCCUGCCCAGUGAGACAUUAAACGGCCGCGGUAUCCUAACCGUGCAAAGGUAGCGUAAUCAUUUGUCCUAUAAAUUAGGACCAGUAUGAAUGGCUAAAUGAGGAUUAGCCUGUCUCUUUCGACCUGCCAGUGAAACUGAUCUGCCAGUACAAAAGCUGACAUACAACCAUAAGACGAGAAGACCCUGUGGAGCUUUAAACCCGCACCUAAACACACUCAAUCCCAAGUCACUAUUAGGUCACCAGUUUUCAGUUGGGGCGACUUCGGAGCCUAACACAACCUCCGAGCAUAAAGAACACAACUCACCAAGGCACACCCGCCAAAGCAAAUAUUGAUCCGGCCAUGCCGACAAACGAACCAAGUUACCCCAGGGAUAACAGCGCAAUCUUCUUCAAGAGUCCAUAUCGACAAGAAGGUUUACGACCUCGAUGUUGGAUCAGGACACCCAAAUGGUGCAGCCGCUAUUAAAGGUUCGUUUGUUCAACGAUUAACAGUCCUAUGUGAUCU
RNAcentral lists this ribosomal RNA (541 nucleotides) under Stenocercus caducus. RNAcentral's name for it is "partial large subunit ribosomal RNA". It matches the Rfam family "Bacterial large subunit ribosomal RNA", at positions 1814 to 2606 of the family's 2925-position model. Lineage: Eukaryota; Metazoa; Chordata; Lepidosauria; Squamata; Tropiduridae. The record is from RNAcentral.